AUUUAUAACGGGCAUCUGAUGAGCAAGUUGCAUUGCUUUCUCUAAAUUACCUUACCUAAUGUCAAACUAUCAAAAGGACACAACUUGUCGUCACACAAAUCUCUUGAAAGGGAUACAGGGAUACAAAAUUUCAUCGUAGAGAAAUACGGCUUUCAUAACUUUCACUCUUCUAAAAUAUCAAACAGCAAUCACAAUUUUAAAAAAAGAAAAACUCGUCUUUUACUUUCUUUGCACUAUCCAAUCUACUACGUGUCGUGAUGAUUGAUUGAUCUUCCUCCAUGAAGCAAAUGGAGCUCCUCUAGCUUCUUCUUUCCUAGGUGUCUUUUGAAUCCACGGAGUCCGAGUCAUCUUUGCAGUGUACUACGCUAUACUUCACUUUGCCAUUACUUAUGAAAUUACAUAUUGGGGGUGGGUAAUCAAGACACCAGACACUCCCUAGCGGUGGCGUUCCUUAACAGGUUUAAAAAUAAAACUCGUUCUGGUUUCCCCAUUCUCAUUAUUUAAAUUUAGCAUGAUAUUUUGUAACAAACACACUAUUUUAAAAAACUGCACGGAUACACUAUUCUAAAAAUUACACAUCGUUACAAUCUUUACGGUAUUUUUCAUUCCAUUGCAUUAGUGUUACAUUACGGUAGUAUAUCUUAUUUAACUUUAUGUAUUAUCCUUAGACAUUACCGAACUUCGCUACUUUGCCUUAUUCGUUCUCUUCGAUUCUUCUUUC
Non-coding RNA from Schizosaccharomyces pombe (fission yeast), 721 nucleotides. The record is from the annotation of a GenBank genome assembly. Lineage: Eukaryota; Fungi; Ascomycota; Schizosaccharomycetes; Schizosaccharomycetales; Schizosaccharomycetaceae.